GUCACAGGAACGAGUAGGUAUGUCUUUGGU
RNAcentral lists this non-coding RNA (30 nucleotides) under Homo sapiens (human). The record is from RNAcentral. Lineage: Eukaryota; Metazoa; Chordata; Mammalia; Primates; Hominidae.